ACACAAACACACACACACAAGAAUCCAAACAGCAGGGUUAAAACUAGAAAGAAUGCACUCUUGGGAAUGUAGAAAAAAGGUGUCAAGAAUGAGCUGGUAGGUGUGAGGAGAAAGGAGAAUGCAAAGUGUGGGGAAAAAUGCUGGAGCGAAAGGUUGCCUGACAAAUGGCAAGAGAGAUACAAAGGAGAGAGAGAGAGGAGUAGAGGGAUCAACACACUGGGAUAAAAGAAAAGAGGAAAGGCAGAAAAUAAGAUGACGCAGCAUGGCUGGCUGGCGAGCCGGUUCCAGUUGCCACAGUAACACCUGUGCGAUGGACCAUAGAAACUGAGCCUCUGUCUUUCCUUCCUGUCUCUCUUCCUGUCACUGCAUCACCACUGAGUUACUUAAUACCUACGAGCCUGAGUCACUGUAGCGCUCCUCUCCUCAUCCCGCUGUCUUUGUCUAUCUGGCUUUACCAUUUCCACUGAGGGUGAAACCAAUGGAGCAUAAACACGCUGUAUACAGAUCCAGUGAUGGGUGUGUUAAGCUUUAUGAGAGACUCAGUGGACACAGGUACUAUGAUUAAUUCUUUUAUACCUGUUUUCAAUUCCUUCUGUGAGAAAAAAAGACAAUCAUUAAAAAAAAUAAUGGAAAAACAACACCCACUAAAACCUUGGCUUGUAAAGCUCAGCUAGUAUAUUUAUGAUAAAUGGGUGAAAGAAAUUAAGCUUUCUGAAGGUCACUUUAGCAGAACUCAUGCUCACUAGUGUUACAGCAUGAACUAGAGCAAUGGAUCCCAAUGUUUGUCGUCUGACUGUAUGCCUACAGUCCCAUCAGAUGAACUCCAGAUCUCAGAUGAACUUAAUAGUAGUAGUGGUAGUAAUGGUGGUCGUAGGGACCUUAGCUCCAGUUCCUCCUUAGCUGCUGCCUCCUGAUCCUUCAUGUGUCUGCACUAAGCUGACAUGACACACUGUUGAAGUAAUUGUGCUAGACUCAGCAGAGCGUCGCUCUCUUGCUCUCAGAUCACUCUCUCUUUAACUUUCGAGCACAUAUACAUCCACAUGUUCUCUCCUCUGCUGCUUCCUGUAAAGGAAAAUCUACUCUCUUUAUCUUCUGAACACCACAAUAGGAUCAAAAGAAUCAAACUACAUUAGAGGCCAUUUCUGAAUCUCUAAAUCUGUUUUUGUUGCACAAAAACGGACAUCAUCUUUCAAGGGUGUUUCACAUGAUGGCGUUCAGUCCUGCAAAUUAUAGCUUAAGGGGCUGCAGCACAAUCAGAGUCACACUCCACUGUAUGUAGACCAAUGGCACAGCCAGACAGUGGGCAGCAGAGCAGAGUAGCCGCCUGUCUGUCUUUCCAUAGUUGGUAAUAGUCUUACUUCCCCAGUGAGGGAGCACUGAGAGGGACUGUGCUCUGACUGGCUCAGCGGACUAACAAUGGCACUUUGUGGAGAAACAUCAGCAGUGUUAGCCAUAAUAAUAAUACGUUUCAUUGCCCCUAAGUGCUUUUUGCUUUGAGUUCUUUUCCAGAUAGUCAAAGACUCUUUAUAUAGUAAGAAAAAAAGACAAACAUCUAUAUAAGUAGCUCACGUCUGAGUUGAAAAGUAUCUUACACCUGGAAGUAGAACAGAGCGUUUUUGUUGUUAAAAAAAAAACAACAACAAAAAAAACAAAACAUACAAGCUGAGAAGAAAGAGAGCAGACAAGACAGCUAUAAUAUGAGCAGGCAUGUAAAUGAAAAAGUGGGAAAAAGUUGUAUAGGAAAAAAGGAAGGAUGCAGGCGCAUGAAUGACAUCGAUGCACAAUGUUAACUUAACAUUUAAAGACAAGACAAACAUGCAAAAAACACAUACCCGCAGACAUGCUCCCCUCUUUCUCAUACAAACACAUACACAUAGAGGUAAAAUACAAGGACAUCUAAUUCAGCUCAACAGCCCUCCUGUUGAGACUACAUGCCCUGCGGAGCUUCUCGUACAUCCUUGAAGCUUGUAUUUCUGGAUUGUGUGACUCACUCUUGUUCACAGCUGCCUUUUUUUGCUUUUUUUGUCUGGGCUAGGGGCUGGCGUCGAUAAUUAGGGGAGGAAAAGUAAAGUGGUCCAAGGGCGCGCAAAGGAUUUCUAAUGAGCUGUUUACAUUCUCCUUUUCUGUGAACAACUGAGGUAGCACUCGGGAGCACUUGUAAACCGCAGCACUAUCUCUUAUCAGAUCUAUAGAUCCCUGUGUAGUCCAGAGAUGCCUGGCUGCUGCUGAGUUUCCUGCCGCAAUGGCGUUUAAUGGGAUGGCAGUGGUGGAAACUGUUUGUCUCUACAGGCCCUGAAGGCUAUGUGCAAUAAUAGUGCAGAGAAAGCUUCAAACUCCUGGGAUCAACAUUAGAUGGUUCGACAUGGAGGAACGGUUGAAGCUAUUAAUGGAUGCACUGUAUAGCUGUUAGGAAAAUCUGAUGUUUAAUUUUAAUGUUGAUUUUUGUCAUGUUUAACACAGUCUAACAGUGAGUGAUGCCUUCAUGGUUUAUUUGUAGUGUCAGUAAUGGCCUUGGCAUCUUCUUGAUGAGUUUAUUAUUAAUACACUAACCCUUUUCAGUUCAGAUGAUGCAUUUUAAAUACAAAGCCCAUGUGGCAGGUGUUGUCAAGGGCAUUGAGAGCUGUGGCUGCUUCAUUCAGUUUGGAACCGAGGCUUGUAUUAUGACAAUCAAUCCCUCCAACUGUCACAUCAACAUGUAAGGAUCUUGGUGAGGAUUUUAUAUCUGGAUUUGCAAAACUGCUUCUAUCAGUGCUUUGGUGAUGCAAGAUCAGACCACCAUCUGUUAGGAAGGAGCAAUAAAAAGCAUUGCCUUUAAUUUCACUCUCUGCUGGAAUAAUUAGGCCAUUUAUAUUCCGCACUUCAUGAUUUAAGAGAGGAGCAAGGGGAAAAGUCGAUAUUGGGACUAUACAGGCAGCGGCAUUUCAGCCAUCAGCUUGUCCAAGUCACUUUGCUGUUAUGAUUUAUGUAUGGCCUUGCUACACGGCUUCACUAGGUAGCACCGCUGUAAUAUAUCCCGCUCCCUGCCAUUAAUCCUUUCCCUGAUAACCUCAACAUGCAAGGAAACUCCAUCUUAAAUCACACGUUGUCACCUGGGAGCUCCACUGACUGGUACUAUGAGUGUGCCUUCACCCCUGUGGCCCCCACCCACCCCAAAACCCUAAAAUACUCUGUAUCUGCUGGGGGAGAUCCUGAACUAGGGUAGCAGACUGACUUACUGACCUUAUCUGACAAGCUUAAUAUCCCCCCCCCCUCCGGCGCAGACUCCUAUCCCUCCCAUUUACUUUACAAGGGUGGCAGUAGGGAUCAGACAAACAAAGCAGACAGAGGCUAGAAUUGCUCUGAUGGUAAUCAUUUCUUGUAGGCUUGAGUAAACCGUCGUAUUUAGCAGGGAAAAACAAGUGAAUGAUUACCACUAAUUUGGCCUCUGAAUUAGACUGUUACGUAAGGAUCUAUACUCAAGCUCAUGAAAAUUCCUCUCGCUCUGACUCUCUCAAUCCGGCUAAUUUGAUCAGAGCUUUUGAAAACAAAGACUUCAAACAUUUGUGUAGACUUUGAACCUUCUCCUUCUCCUCUCAUGUAGGCUGUAUGGAGAAAUCUGAUAAACCUAAAAUGACACCUCGUAUUUCUACUGUAAAAAAAGAAGGACUUAUACAGCUGAAUCCCCUGGUAGAACAUUUGAAAAGGGCGAAAAUAUGACAGAUCUCUAUCUAAAAGUCACACACCUGCUUCUGUCUGCAACUCAAGACCUUUUCUGACCCACCCGAGAACAAUAGUCGCACAUCUAUCUUAACACACUUGUGUAUUACCAUAUUUCAUCUGUUUGACCUUCCCAAAGCUCAGCAGGGAACUCUAUUACUCUUAGCUUGCCCUGUGUUUCUCCAGCUCCCCUUUCCCCAUUUCUGCCUCCAAUGUCUCUUUCUUGGUGAGUUCUUGCCCAAUGGCGUGUGAGCAGUAAUUUGUCAUGUCCCUCUAAGCGUAACCAAGAUGAGAUGGCAGGGGCCCUGGGGCACCAGCCACUGCGCUACCUGAACCACCAACACUUACAUAAUGGCAGGUUCUGAGAAAAAUGGGGGUUGGGGGGGUGGAAGGAAGGUAUAUACAGCACGAGAAUACAAGAGAGAAAAGCUCACAGAGAUCCUGCAACCAAAGGCAGAAGAGUUGCAUUAAUCAUGACAAUACCUUGAGAAGACAACCUCCAUUACAUCAGUGGAGGGAAGACAGGCUCUCAGAGAGUAGAAGGCAGCAGUCAAUGCCGCUGAAUAUACUAGGCUGAUGUUGCUUAAGGGGUUUGGGGAGGAAGGGCUUUGGCGCACUUCCCAUGAAAUCGCCCACGGCAUGCACACAGGACAUUCAAGACUGUAGUCUUGGUCUUUGACAAGAUCAGCUCCGUAGAGAGACGCUUUCGUCAUAGAAAUAAAAAGUGAAAUUUACUGGACCAGCGGAACAUCAAACACGGACAUCAUGGGAAAAAUAGUUUUGACGGGCUAUUUAAAAACUCCUGCCAUUCCACAUUGUUCACUUAGGAGUCAGUCUUAAUGGAGUAAGAUGAAGAGACUGUUUAAUCAAGCCAAUGCCGGUAAUUUCGCAACAUGUCACAAGUGUUUUGCGUUGGACAGGUUUACACCUAUUAUGUAUGGUGAAACUAGGACCCGGGCCCCGCUCCUGAACAAGAUUGCAUUGACAGCGACAUCACAGCUAUCACAUGACACCUUGCAUUGCCGCUGUGAACAAACCGUCUUUGCAAGACGAUGGGCACGAAAACCAAUUACGCAAGGGAGGACAUAAAAGGGGAAAAUGCAAAUUGAACGAUAAAAGCCCCUCAUAUGGGCAAAAGAGAGCGUGGUUGGUCCGGCUGUGCCUCGGAGCCAUGGUGCAGAAAGGCUAGAGAGCUCUGCUGCGAGGUGAUAAAAUAAAGGGGACCUCGCUUAUAAUAGCCUGCAAUAUCUUCACACAUCACAGCAUCACACAUGCUGCACUCACCGGGUGCGUGUUAACUGCGUUUUGCUCUUCUCUCCUUCCAUCUUUUUUUCUCUCUUCCUUUCAUCCAUUCCCUCUAUAGUCUGUUUAUUUAUUUAUCUUACUCCCCACAGAACAACACCAGCAUCAGCACUUAGGAUGUCAUCGGUUACAAGGAGACAGGUCACACAUGCCAUACUAUAGUGUGUCUGCAGAAAACUGGAAAAUUUCUCUUCCUGCUGCAGUGGCAUCCCACAAGGAGCUCUGAGAAUGUAGUGUUGAAGGUCGACGCAAACAUAACACUGGAGGUAAUGUGGUGUGCACCAUCUCCGCAUCCUGGCCAGAUCUCAUUUUAAGCAAGGGGCCUCUUGGGGAAGUUUACGACAAAAACAGCAGAGGCUGGAGAGAGCAAUGGGCCAUAUUAAACAAACAGAUCAAUAGCUGAACAAAUCAAUUGUUACCAACCUAUCUACAUGUAAUGGCUCCACAUCGCUGUGGUCAGUGCCUGGUCAUUAUACUAUAAGUGGGGGGUAGGCAAAAUAAUUUCCAACAGCUGGCUGUUUUUGCUGAUUUGCCCAUGCAGCAAAAUAACAACAACACACAUCUGCGUUUCCAAGGUUAUCAGGUCUAUUAGUCCUGUCUGAUUUUUUUUUCCCUCUCUCAUUUUGUCCUUUUUGUCAUUCAUGAAUCAAGGCCACCCUAGCCACUCCCUCCCUUGUUUUGUAUGUCCUCUACAGAGAGAGGGGAGGAAAGACAGCCGAAGACAGGGUAGCAGCUGUGAGUUUUAGCCUCUUGCUGACUGAUGCCUGAUGAAGAUGAUGCCCCAGGGAGGGUCAGUUUUGGCAUGGUGGGGUACACAUGCUCCUCUGUCCUCUGGACCAACACAUCAACAAACAAAGCUUCGUAGAAAACACAGUCUGGUCAUAAUGAUAGCAGCUUUUCUUCUUCUGUCUUAAUUAGAUUACCCUUCCCAGUUGUGUACUGGGGCUAUGUUUGGAAAUCUUAUCUAGACUUUCUAUCUUGGCAAUUUCUUAUCUUUAAACAACUGCAGUGCUGCAUUAUGAUUGCAGAGCCGUUCAAUACAGGAACGGGAUGGAUUUAAAUGUAUUGUUUUUAGUUAGUUUACAUUACACAGCAUUACACAGAGUCUUCUCCAUUAAUAAAGCCUGAGGAGACAAAUAAUGUCACUCUCUGCAGCCAAUUACUAUUUAAGUGAAAAAUGUUGCCAAUAUUUGUCUCUUUUAGUUUAAUUUAUUUGAUUUUAGUUUAGUUUAUUUGAUAAUAAGUUUUGUAUUGUUUUUUUAAAACAUUUUUUCCACAAAAACUAAUUCUCCAGAUAAAUGAACAAAUAUUUACAGGUAACCUAAAUAUACUAAACUCUCUUUUCAAUGCACUGUAAAAAAAUGUAUAACUUUUACACACACUAGCCUACUUUAGCUUAAACAUUAUCACAAGCUGACUGAAGAUAGUGAGCAAAGAACACACAGACACAAAACCUUAAAUAAGUUCUAAAAUAUGAAAUCAAAUAGACAUUUAGCUAUCACCAGGCGGAAUAAUGCGUUAUCAUCAGUUCUCACAGGGACUAUUUCUUUUUGGGGGAGUGCUUCGGAUAAUAACGGUUCACGGAGACUCUGAGGGUUAUUUACAGUAGCUUCUGAGGACGAAUUCCCGAUGAAAUUUGUACACAAUUUGAAACCUGGGCAAAUAAAAACAAAGCUUUCUGCAUAGAAACAUCCAGAGGUGGAAAUAUGAGAGAGAUGGAGAGAAAACUGAUAGAAAAGGUCCAAUCCAUCAGCAGAGUGGACUAUCUCAUAUGCUGCUUUCAUUUUUCCAUCCAGACAAAAACAUCCUGCCUGUAAGUAGCAGCUACCCAUCCCAAUCCAUUCCUGCACGCCCUCAGACAUGCACACCCACACACUUACUCACGCUCUUGUGUGUCUUCGUGAACACAGUAAACACUCAGACACGCCGGCUUUAUGCAUGUGCUUUUCACUCCUGUCAUCCUCCUCCACACUGCCAUGGAAACAGAAUUCAGCAUUCAAAUAUCUUUAUUGUCUGGGGAUAUGUGCAUGUCAGUCAGUGAUUUGAAGUUGUUUGGGGAGGGGGGGUCUCUUUCCCUCGCCAUGGCUCCAUAAGCUUUAAUCAGAGCCUCUGCUCACACUACUUUCACUAAUCCCCUUUAUUAGUCGGUGACAUGAGGCAGCAUCCUUGUUUUGUGGUCAGAGGGUUUUUGGAAAAUGCUCUUCUCUGCUGCCCACUGCUGUGGUGUCCAUACCACGCGAGUAGUCUCACAGGGAUGAGCAGAUGUUUAAUGGUGCAGUGGCAGAGGAGCAAAAAAGAAGCAGAGUGGGAGAAGCUUCUUGAGUCAUGGUCGACUGGGUUGCUGUGUGGCAGGCAGCUAAAAAAGGUUUGAGUCAUUCUCCAUAUGUGACUUGUUUUCCAAGUGCGUCAGCAGUGCGCAUACGCUACCAGCAUGCACCUGCAGAAGGUCUCAGUGUCUUAAAUUGCGGCCACUUGGCUAUGCCACCGUUCCUCUGUUUCCUACCUGUCAGUCUGAUCUUUUUUUUUUACCCACUCCCUGUCCUGCUUGUGUCACAUGUCACAUGGAUUAUCACUGACAAGAGAACGCUGAUGCAUGUUGAAAGCAUGGCUGCCCAACACACAUACACGUCAGACACACAUAAACAAAACUCCCACCUACUCAUAUGUCAGCAGCACUGUAGCGCUUUUAAACGGCCGUGUACCAGAGUGUGUCUGUGUUUUUUCUGAGGGGAGGAUAUUGGAGGAAUAUUGUUUUUGGUGCUCGAGACAGGCCUUGGCAGUGAUGUAUAAAAAUGCACAUUCCCUCCUUCUCUCUCAUAAACAUGCAGCUUCCUGGGGGAGAGCAGAUGGCUAAGCCCAGCUCGCCACCUGCAGGCUGCUGCCUGCACGCUACGGGCAUCUCUGUGGGCACCACUGCCGGCCCUGGCAGCCCUCUAGGGUCAGGUUUCUACCCCACCCUGAGCUAACCAUCUUGUCCAGCACAGGCUUUAGCCGACAGAACUGGCCUCCUGACAAUAACUCACUGCCCAGGCACCAUAACCAAUGCAAUAAACAAAGUAAAGAAUGUGCCAUGUCAUCAACUAAUACUGACACGAUAUGUGUUUCGAGAAUGUGCCAAAUCGUCUCAUGAUGACACGUUUUAAUACUAUCUGGAGUUCUUUCUGUUUAUUUUUUUAUUGCGUUGUUUGUACAUGAAUUAUACAUUAGCAAAUGUUUUAUGGAUUUGUGAUUUGUUCUGCCAGAUUAAGUCUCAAGUCGACUGGAUGCUUGUGUACAGUCCAGUGCAGCUUUCGAGGGUUAUUUUAAAUCCUCUUUAUUCCUCAUUUCCCAAAGCACAGCAAGACUUCACUGGGCAUGAGAGUUUCAUUGGGAAGA
This is a long non-coding RNA of Lates calcarifer (barramundi perch), 8373 nucleotides long. RefSeq lists it as uncharacterized. The transcript has 2 exons. Lineage: Eukaryota; Metazoa; Chordata; Actinopteri; Centropomidae. The record is from RefSeq and is a predicted model, not a curated record.